This 742-nucleotide ribosomal RNA is filed under the name Streptomyces cacaoi. Its description in RNAcentral is "bacterial SSU rRNA". It matches the Rfam family "Bacterial small subunit ribosomal RNA", at positions 108 to 861 of the family's 1533-position model. Lineage: Bacteria; Bacillati; Actinomycetota; Actinomycetes; Kitasatosporales; Streptomycetaceae. The record is from RNAcentral.
GAGUAACACGUGGGCAAUCUGCCCUGCACUCUGGGACAAGCCCUGGAAACGGGGUCUAAUACCGGAUAUGACCACCGGCCGCAUGGUCUGGUGGUGGAAAGCUCCGGCGGUGCAGGAUGAGCCCGCGGCCUAUCAGCUUGUUGGUGGGGUGAUGGCCUACCAAGGCGACGACGGGUAGCCGGCCUGAGAGGGCGACCGGCCACACUGGGACUGAGACACGGCCCAGACUCCUACGGGAGGCAGCAGUGGGGAAUAUUGCACAAUGGGCGCAAGCCUGAUGCAGCGACGCCGCGUGAGGGAUGACGGCCUUCGGGUUGUAAACCUCUUUCAGCAGGGAAGAAGCGCGAGUGACGGUACCUGCAGAAGAAGCACCGGCUAACUACGUGCCAGCAGCCGCGGUAAUACGUAGGGUGCGAGCGUUGUCCGGAAUUAUUGGGCGUAAAGAGCUCGUAGGCGGCCUGUCGCGUCGGAUGUGAAAGCCCGGGGCUUAACCCCGGGUCUGCAUUCGAUACGGGCAGGCUAGAGUUCGGCAGGGGAGAUUGGAAUUCCUGGUGUAGCGGUGAAAUGCGCAGAUAUCAGGAGGAACACCGGUGGCGAAGGCGGAUCUCUGGGCCGAUACUGACGCUGAGGAGCGAAAGCGUGGGGAGCGAACAGGAUUAGAUACCCUGGUAGUCCACGCCGUAAACGUUGGGCACUAGGUGUGGGCGGCAUUCCACGUCGUCCGUGCCGCAGCUAACGCAUU